RNAcentral lists this ribosomal RNA (453 nucleotides) under uncultured bacterium. RNAcentral's name for it is "bacterial SSU rRNA". It matches the Rfam family "Bacterial small subunit ribosomal RNA", at positions 29 to 526 of the family's 1533-position model. The record is from RNAcentral.
AACGAACGCUGGCGGCAGGCCUAACACAUGCAAGUCGAGCGCUCACUUCGGUGGGAGCGGCGGACGGGUUAGUAACGCGUGGGAACGUGCCCUUCUCUACGGAAUAGCCAUUGGAAACGAUGAGUAAUACCGUAUACGCCCUUUGGGGGAAAGAUUUAUCGGAGAAGGAUCGGCCCGCGUUAGAUUAGAUAGUUGGUGGGGUAACGGCCUACCAAGUCUACGAUCUAUAGCUGGUUUUAGAGGAUGAUCAGCAACACUGGGACUGAGACACGGCCCAGACUCCUACGGGAGGCAGCAGUGGGGAAUCUUAGACAAUGGGCGCAAGCCUGAUCUAGCCAUGCCGCGUGUGUGAUGAAGGCCCUAGGGUCGUAAAGCACUUUCGCCAGGGAUGAUAAUGACAGUACCUGGUAAAGAAACCCCGGCUAACUCCGUGCCAGCCGCCGCCGGUAACAC